Molecule: long non-coding RNA, 611 nt
Filed under: Nicotiana benthamiana
Lineage: Eukaryota; Viridiplantae; Streptophyta; Magnoliopsida; Solanales; Solanaceae
Description: long non-coding RNA (NBEN_LNC036378)
Source: RNAcentral
GCAUGGGCUCGUCGCUGGUGAAUGAUAUGCAGAUUCCCCUCUUAUCAAUAUAAUGAUGUCAGGAUUUCCAGGAUAAAUUCCAUGAGAGGUAGCAACAUUUAUUUCUCUAAUAUAGCCAAAUUACAUUUUAUACUAGAAUAAGGAGAUGAGGAAUCACAUGGAUAAAUUUCGGAGGGGGAGGUGGGGACACAGAGGAUAAAGGAGAUAGCCUGGGGUCGUCGCUGGUGAAUGAUAUGUAGAUUCCCCUCUUAUCAAUAUAAUUAUGUCAGGAUUUCCAGGGUAAAUUCCAUGAGAGGUAGCAACAUUUAUUUCUCUAAUAUAGCCAAAUUACAUUUUAUACUAGAAUAAGGAGAUGAGGAAUCACAUGGAUAAAUUUCGGAGGGGGAGGUGGGGACACAGAGGAUAAAGGAGAUAGCCUGGGGUCGUCGCUGGUGAAUGAUAUGUAGAUUCCCCUCUUAUCAAUAUAAUUAUGUCAGGAAUAGCCUUGUGGAGAUAAUGUGGAAAAUCCAGUCUUCUGUUUUAGUAGAUAUAUUUUUGUGCUAUACUGCAAAGAAGCAUGCUUUGGUUUGUUUAAGUUUUGCUUUCAUUGUUCGUCAUCUCGUUUGUCUAUU